Triticum dicoccoides is the source of this 1383-nucleotide long non-coding RNA. RefSeq lists it as uncharacterized. NCBI's taxonomy places the organism in Eukaryota, Viridiplantae, Streptophyta, Magnoliopsida, Poales, Poaceae. The transcript has 4 exons. The record is from RefSeq and is a predicted model, not a curated record.
UUCUGAAUUUCUGAGGUUAGGGUUAUUGGUUUUUGGAGCGGUGCUGGGAAAGAGGAAGAAGACCAAGAAGGCAAGAAAGGAAAGGAAAACGAGAAGCUCGGGUGAUGGAGGUAAUGCUGGAGAAGGGUUCCUGGCGGUGGGAUCAAUUCUAGGAGGAGGGGAGAUCAUAGUGGAGGAUAUGAAGCCCGUGUGAAUGACAUAGAAGAAGAGGAGGAGCUCAAGGCUACGGAGAAAAAGGACAAUAGUAGAGUAUCAGAGUUCAUUCUAGCUGAGAUCAACUUUUGUUUUCACGGGACAUGUGAAUCCUCUCUGAUUUGGUUUUGUCUAAAUUUCACAGUGUGAAACCUGGCCAUGUGAAUCCUGAAGUAAAAAAAUGAUGGUUCUGACUUGAUUGAAUGUUAGUAGUGAUGUACAUAAAGAAUCAGCCUGUACCUAGCUGACCAUGCUAAUUCUCUGCAAAUUUGUGUUAAUCAAAAUUUGCACAUACAUACAAGCAAUAUUUCUUCAAUUAAAGAAUAUUCACCUUACGACAAUUUUUGUUUUAUGCUAUUCUUAAGAUAAAAUUUGUAUCGGUGAUGCUAGCUUUAUGUUUUGUGAAUUUACCAGGCAAAUCAAUAAUUGAAAUUCUGCCAAGAAAUCUAGGGGCAGAAGAAGAUGUAUACUUUAGGUGUACGUGAAUCUUUAAGCCGUUCCUUUCUAGGACAAUUUCUAAGACAAUUUUCCUUUUACCCAGAGGUUUACAAGCUUUGGGUGCCUGCGGCCGGCUCGACGGGUGGCAUCAGCAAGCGCCGGCCGGCCUCGGCACUGCUGCGGGUGGUUAUAUAGUCGGCGGAGCACACUAGUGGGCUUCAACGUCAGCGUACGGUGGCGAGCUAAAUCAAAUUCAUGUCCUGACAUCAAAUUUCGAUACGUAAGGAACACGACGUCGUUGCGAUGCCUCCAGAUGCACCAGCAACAGAACAUGAAGAAUGUCAAUGGCAAGGUGAGCGACAUCUAGCAGAUUGCGGACAGAGGCCACGGAAGGUGACCGGAACCCCAACAUGGCCCUGAAAUCAACCACCAAUGGGCAGGCAGAGAGGAGGUGUCUCGCUGACUGCAGCGAGGCAUGGCGGAAUGGGCUACUAUUACACGCUCUAAAAGUGAGGUUUAGAGCAAUUAAAAAGAAUCAAGUUCCUGCUUUUUUCUCCCUGAUGUGAGUGUAUUGGAGUAUAGGGUUCUCCCUGGAGGGUCUUGUAAUCAGUGAGCUAUCUGAGGCAAUGUAUAGAGUUCCAGUUCUGUUUUUCUUGAGAGCCGACCCUGUAAAUUCUAGCUCUGUUUUCUUAGAGCUGAUAUGUAAAUUCUUCAAUGUUUAAAUAAAGUUCAGCCUCAGGCCCUUAAAGAUAA